RNAcentral lists this ribosomal RNA (459 nucleotides) under uncultured bacterium. Its description in RNAcentral is "partial 16S ribosomal RNA". It matches the Rfam family "Bacterial small subunit ribosomal RNA", at positions 338 to 795 of the family's 1533-position model. The record is from RNAcentral.
CCUACGGGAGGCAGCAGUGAGGAAUAUUGGUCAAUGGCCGGGAGGCUGAACCAGCCAAGUCGCGUGAGGGAAGACGGCCCUACGGGUUGUAAACCUCUUUUGUCAGGGAGUAAGGUGCAGGUCGGGACCUGCUGUGUGAGUACCUGAUGAAAAAGCAUCGGCUAACUCCGUGCCAGCAGCCGCGGUAAUACGGAGGAUGCAAGCGUUAUCCGGAUUUAUUGGGUUUAAAGGGUGCGCAGGGGGAGGCUAAAGUCAGCGGUAAAAUCGGGGGGCUCAACCCCGCUCCGCCGUUGAAACUGGUACCCUUGAGUGCGGGAAGGGUGGGCGGAAUGCGUGGUGUAGCGGUGAAAUGCAUAGAUAUCACGCAGAACUCCGAUCGCGAAGGAAGCCUACCGGCGCGCAACUGACGCUCAUGCACGAAAGCGUGGGUAUCGAACAGGAUUAGAUACCCUAGUAGUC